Molecule: ribosomal RNA, 253 nt
Filed under: uncultured bacterium
Lineage: Bacteria
Description: partial 16S ribosomal RNA
Rfam family: Bacterial small subunit ribosomal RNA
Source: RNAcentral
UACGGAGGAUGCAAGCGUUAUCCGGAAUGAUUGGGCGUAAAGCGUCCGCAGGUGGCUAUGUAAGUCUGCUGUUAAAGAGUCUAGCUCAACUAGAUACAAGCAGUGGAAACUACAAGGCUAGAGUACGUUCGGGGCAGAGGGAAUUCCUGGUGUAGCGGUGAAAUGCGUAGAGAUCAGGAAGAACACCGGUGGCGAAGGCGCUCUGCUAGGCCGUAACUGACACUGAGGGACGAAAGCUAGGGGAGCAAACAGG